RNAcentral lists this ribosomal RNA (515 nucleotides) under uncultured bacterium. RNAcentral describes it as "partial 16S ribosomal RNA". It matches the Rfam family "Bacterial small subunit ribosomal RNA", at positions 28 to 523 of the family's 1533-position model. The record is from RNAcentral.
GAUGAACGCUGGCGGCGUGCCUAGUACAUGCAAGUCGAGCGAAUGGAUUAAGAGCUUGCUCUUAUGAAGUUAGCGGCGGACGGGUGAGUAACACGUGGGUAACCUGCCCAUAAGACUGGGAUAACUCCGGGAAACCGGGGCUAAUACCGGAUAACAUUUUGAACCGCAUGGUUCGAAAUUGAAAGGCGGCUUCGGCUGUCACUUAUGGAUGGACCCGCGUCGCAUUAGCUAGUUGGUGAGGUAACGGCUCACCAAGGCAACGAUGCGUAGCCGACCUGGGAGGGUGACCGGCCACAAGGGGACUGGGACACGGCCCAGACUCCUACGGGAGGCAGAGGUAGGGAAUCUUCCGCAAUGGGCGAAAGUCUGACGGGGCAACGCCGCGUGAGUGAUGAAGGCUUUCGGGUCGUAAAACUCUGUUGUUAGGGAAGAACAAGUGCUAGUUGAAUAAGCUGGCACCUUGACGGUACCUAACCAGAAAGCCACGGCUAACUACGUGCCAGCCGCCGCAGUAA